RNAcentral lists this ribosomal RNA (492 nucleotides) under Abiotrophia defectiva. RNAcentral describes it as "bacterial SSU rRNA". It matches the Rfam family "Bacterial small subunit ribosomal RNA", at positions 28 to 498 of the family's 1533-position model. Lineage: Bacteria; Bacillati; Bacillota; Bacilli; Lactobacillales; Aerococcaceae. The record is from RNAcentral.
GACGAACGCUGCCGGCGUGCCUAAUACAUGCAAGUCGAACGAACCGCGACUGAGUGCUUGCACUUGGUCAAGGUGAGUGCGAACGGGUGAGUAACACGUGGGUAACCUACCUCAUAGUGGGGGAUAACAGUCGGAAACGACUGCUAAUACCGCAUAGGACAUGGAAUCACAUGAUUCUGUGAGGAAAGGUGGCGCAAGCUAUCGCUAAGAGAUGGACCCGCGGUGCAUUAGCUAGUUGGUAGGGUAAGGGCCUACCAAGGCGAUGAUGCAUAGCCGACCUGAGAGGGUGAUCGGCCACAUUGGGACUGAGACACGGCCCAAACUCCUACGGGAGGCAGCAGUAGGGAAUCUUCCGCAAUGGACGCAAGUCUGACGGAGCAACGCCGCGUGAGUGAAGAAGGUCUUCGGAUCGUAAAGCUCUGUUGUUAGAGAAGAACAGCGCAUAGAGUAACUGUUAUGCGUGUGACGGUAUCUAACCAGAAAGCCACGGCG